RNAcentral lists this ribosomal RNA (460 nucleotides) under uncultured bacterium. RNAcentral's name for it is "partial 16S ribosomal RNA". It matches the Rfam family "Bacterial small subunit ribosomal RNA", at positions 338 to 795 of the family's 1533-position model. The record is from RNAcentral.
CCUACGGGUGGCAGCAGUGAGGAAUAUUGGUCAAUGGACGAGAGUCUGAACCAGCCAAGUAGCGUGAAGGAUGACUGCCCUAUGGGUUGUAAACUUCUUUUAUAUGGGAAUAAAAUGUUCCACGUGUGGGAUUUUGUAUGUACCAUAUGAAUAAGGAUCGGCUAACUCCGUGCCAGCAGCCGCGGUAAUACGGAGGAUCCGAGCGUUAUCCGGAUUUAUUGGGUUUAAAGGGUGCGUAGGUGGUUUGUUAAGUCAGUUGUGAAAGUUUGCGGCUCAACCGUAAAAUUGCAGUUGAAACUGGCAGGCUGGAGUACAGUAGAGGUAGGCGGAAUGCGUGGUGUAGCGGUGAAAUGCUGAGAGAUCACGAAGAACACCGAUUGCGAAGGCAGCUCACUAGACUGCAACUGACAUUGAGGCUCGAAAGUGUGGGUAGCAAACAGGAUUAGAUACCCUAGUAGUC